GUUAGUAACACGUGGGUGAUCUGCCCUGCACUUCGGGAUAAGCCUGGGAAACUGGGUCUAAUACCGGAUAGGAGCCAUUUUUAGUGUGAUGGUUGGAAAGUUUUUCGGUGUAGGAUGAGCUCGCGGCCUAUCAGCUUGUUGGUGGGGUAAUGGCCUACCAAGGCGGCGACGGGUAGCCGGCCUGAGAGGGUGGACGGCCACAUUGGGACUGAGAUACGGCCCAG
RNAcentral lists this ribosomal RNA (224 nucleotides) under uncultured Actinomycetales bacterium. Its description in RNAcentral is "partial 16S ribosomal RNA". It matches the Rfam family "Bacterial small subunit ribosomal RNA", at positions 106 to 334 of the family's 1533-position model. Lineage: Bacteria; Bacillati; Actinomycetota; Actinomycetes; Actinomycetales. The record is from RNAcentral.